GUUAUGUUAAGCUGUAUAUUAGUUUAAUUUGGAAAUAUUUAUUUGAUGAUAUAAAUUUGACACUUGGUGUUUUAAAAGUCAGAGUUUGUAAUUUUGCAUAUGAUUUUUCAGCUUUUAUAUCUAUCUAUGUACUAUAUAAAGAGAAGUGGUGUUUUUGGUUGGAAAAUUUUGAGUGGACCAUUUUACCCUCUCCAAUAAUUUAUUAUAAUUAAUACGAAAUUAAUUAUAUCCCGGUCAAACAUAAUUUCAAUUGCAUCCAAUGGCUACCAUUUAUCUCGGUCAAACAUAAUUUCAAAAAUAAAAUUCCAGCGUUUUCUCUCUCCUCCUUCAUUUUGACGCGCUAUUUUCUCUCUCCUCCUUUCUUUGUUCUCUGCUCUCUUUCUCUUUGCUAUUUGCUAUGAUUCUUCAUCAAUUCUUCUUCAAACUCCAUUGAUUCUUCAUCAAGAACUGUUCAAUGCUAUAUAUGGAUUCUUCGGUUGCUAUGGAUUCUACUAAUGCUAAAGAUUCUACGGCUAUACCUUUGGAAAGGAAAAUGAACUCUAUGAAAAGGAGUGUGCUGCCGAUGUUGGUUCAUCAGGGGCUGUAGUGGAUGUAGAGUCUGAGAAGCUCAGUGCAUCUAUAAAGUCAUAAAACAAGCAGAAGAGAUUCAAAUCAGUCGCUACUAAGGGUAAAGGAAAAAUAGGGGAAGGAGGGCAGAUUAGGAGGUCAGGCAAUUGUUAUGAUGUUCUUAGGAUUUGCAUAGAACAGUAUUAGUAUCAGUUUUUAUGAUGUUCUCAAUGGCACAAAUGUGUUUGUGUUAAUCUUGUUAUUAUAACCUUUAGUAUGUUUUGUAAUGAUAAACAAAUUAAUAAUUAGGCAAACUUAUUAAGACAUACUAAAGAUUUUUGAGCUCAUUAAAUCUUUGUCAUUUUCGAGCUCCUCUAAACUUACACGCAAUGAGCAAAGAUUUGUUUACCAUAAUCAUGUAAGUAAAUUUGGAGGGGGUAGUCGUGCACGCAUUAUGUGCGCCUCUAAAGAUAUUAAGAAUAAAGCUUACAUGAUGAACGAUGAUGUUAACAUGAUUGCAUACGCAAGGUCUUACUCAGACAAUUGUCCUUCACUUUUUUUUGGAUUGUGUUUUUCAUUUUGAACUUACAAUUUUGUUUUCUUUUAUAUUAUGAGUUUUUAAAGACAAAUUAGCCACUAAAUUAUUAAGACUAAGUUUUUUCUUUUCUUUUCUUUUUUCAAGGAACACACCUUAUACAAUUAACUAGAUUAUUUCUCAUUUUAUUAAUAACAUACAGUUGUUUAACAUGUACUUUAAUCAACUUAAAGCUUUCUUUAUCCAUGUGAUGCAAUGAUAGGUUGUCGUACACCUGUCAAAAAUAAAUUCCUAACAAAACCAACUAACAAUGUAGUAGGAUAAGUAGGGUCGAAUCCACAGGGAGAUGAUAUUCAAUCUAACUUCUACGGAUUUGGAGAAACUAAACUAUGUCACGAAAUUCGGGAUAGAAUGGUAGUCUAAACUAAAAUAAGAACAAAAAUAAUGAAAAGGCCUAGGGUUAUGGUUCACCAUGCUUAUGGUUUUAAAUCUAUCAAAAUACCAUUAAAAAUUCAAUCAAUUAAGUAUCUAGAGCAAUUGCUAAGCCUACUGUCGGGUCUUAACGCUCUCAAUUCAACAUAUGUAGUUCGGUCACUAACAUAAUCAGAAUAACUAAUUGUAGGUAAGCCUUUAAAAGUAAUAUCUUUCGAUUUCAAACUCUUAUUAACAAUAAUUAAUCAAACAAUUGAUCAGGUUGCAAGAUUAACAAU
Molecule: long non-coding RNA, 1791 nt
Organism: Chenopodium quinoa (quinoa)
Lineage: Eukaryota; Viridiplantae; Streptophyta; Magnoliopsida; Caryophyllales; Amaranthaceae
Exons: 3
Source: RefSeq, a predicted model, not a curated record